Molecule: ribosomal RNA, 253 nt
Filed under: uncultured bacterium
Lineage: Bacteria
Description: partial 16S ribosomal RNA
Rfam family: Bacterial small subunit ribosomal RNA
Source: RNAcentral
UACAGAGGGGGCAAGCGUUAUUCGGAAUUAUUGGGCGUAAAGGGCGCGUAGGCGGCUUUGCAAGUGGCGGGUGAAAGCCCUCGGCUUAACCGAGGAACUGCCUGUCAGACUGUGAGGCUUGAGACCGGGAGAGGUGAGUGGAAUUCCCAGUGUAGCGGUGAAAUGCGUAGAUAUUGGGAGGAACACCAGUGGCGAAGGCGGCUCACUGGACCGGAACUGAUGCUGAGGCGCGAAAGCGUGGGGAGCAAACAGG